RNAcentral lists this unclassified non-coding RNA (5339 nucleotides) under Homarus americanus (American lobster). Its description in RNAcentral is "kN motif and ankyrin repeat domain-containing protein 1-like, transcript variant X5". Lineage: Eukaryota; Metazoa; Arthropoda; Malacostraca; Decapoda; Nephropidae. The record is from RNAcentral.
UGUGAGGGAGGGAGGAUAUACGAGGCUCCCCACAUUAUGGUGAAAUACUGCGAAUGACAUAAGUGAAAAAAGAACAUAUAAAUUGUGGCUUUACAUAUCUAUUCACGGAUGAUAAAUGUGGAGUAGAAACACGGAGUGACGGUUGUUAUAUGAGGAGCUGUUUGACCGUCCGUGUCGAGUUUCUUGAUAUUUUUUGAAGACGUGUGGGAGGCGGCGAGAUGACCAGCUGACAUCUCCUGCUGGACCACACUGCCCACACCCUCUCCUGGUUGUGAUGGUGGCAGGUCGAGGCUAUAAAUGUUAAAGGCGAAAACCGACGUGAAGGUAGACCCAAACCAGCCACGAUGAAGACCAACGCUGCAGAAUACUUCAGUAGCCUGUCUCCGCUCAAAGCAGCAGGACAGUCACCUGGGAGCAGAGCGUACGAGGCCCACGUACAAAAUGGCAGGUCCGGCAGGUGUCACUGCUGUCCGUACGGCUACCAUAUUGACCUCGACUUUGUGCGCUACUGUGAAAUGCUCACACAGGGCUCCAAGAACGACAACCCCACACUCCGGCAGCUGAAGAAAAUGAAACGUGCUCGUCGGAGGCAGACCAAGUCCAUGGAGGUGCUGCUUGGUCUGUCUCCGGGGAAAGAAAACGAGAUUCCAGACCAGCAGCUUCCUCAGACUAAACUGGAAAUUAUUGAGGAGCCAGUGAAAGUCGUUGAUACCUUGAACAGAGAUGUGUCGUCUAUUGUACGACGAACUCAAUCUCUGCGAGAGCGAACUCCACCUCCCCCUCCUCCCAGGCGAUGCACAACUCCCAUAAUGUCUGGACCUCCUCCAGACGUUAUCAACACAACAAACUCUAGUUCUGGGUUAAAUAAUAGCUCCACUUUGGAUGCAAGUGAAGCUCUUCAGGAGGCAGUUAUGGAUUUUGAGGAAAUGCUUGAAAACUCCCGUGAGAAACGUCUGGUCAAGGAAAAAUCGGAGACCCUGCCACCCAACGUUCCUUCUCUAGACCUGUUACACCACACUCCUCCCCCCCACACUCACCCGACCAGCCCCAAGUCAGGGGUCGGGGUAUCAAGAUCACACUCUCUCCCCCGACAGUGGUUUAACAGGUCUCUCUCCCCCCUGUCUUCCCCUACUACCUCCUCCUUAACCUCACCCACACACCACCCUUCCUACGGCACUGGUGAGGGCAGUACACAGAUGGCAGUACUUAAGGUGUUGCGCCGUGGGUGGUCGAGAGCCGCGCCAGGUGGCCAGAAGCCUCACCGUACCUCCGAGAGUCCAUUGCCAGAUGACUCUCCAUUAUUAGGCCGCCAGCGCACCAACUCCACCUCCUCCCUCUCCUCCAUCUCCUCUGCCUCGGGGUACCCUGGUGUGGUGGGCCCCAUGACCCCCGGUGCUACUGCUGGUGGAGGAGCUGUCUUCAACAAUGGAUAUGGUCCUCCUGCUGGUGUGGGAAUAAUACAACAACACAUGAUGCCCCGCCUCUCAGAGACUCUGGCUGCUCUCAACGCUGCCCGGGGCUGUUCUGUCAUGCACCAGGACUUUGAUACUAUGAGUGUCACAUCUGCCAUGUCUGGAGUCAGCACCACCACACUCCAGUCCAUCCGUGACCAGAUGGCCACAAGUCUGGCUCGACUGAAGGAACUGGAGGAGGAGGUGAAGACCAUCCCCAUGCUUCAGAUAAAACUGAACGUACUGAAGGAGGAGAAGCGACUUUUGGUCCAGCAGCUUAAGUCAGGACGUAGAGGUGAAGACGCUGCCUUCUUGUUGCCUCCGAGUCUGGACGGUGACCUUACUGACUUGUCGGAGGAUGAAUUAGAGGGCAGGCUGGUCAGCUUGAGGAAUGUCUACUCCUCAACACCUCGAGCACCGCGCAGACGUAGUGAAUCACCGAUGAGAGUCAACCUUGAAGAGUUUCGUUCUUACCGUCGUGCACGCCGGGGGUCAGUGUCGGAAGGCUCCGAGACAGAGUCAAUUCGCUCGGUGGUUGAGGACACUCCACUCUUCAUAAAGGAAGUUCAAGAUCACAUCACGGAGAGAAGACUGAGUCAGGAAACGUCGAGAGAGACGCAGACAGCUCAUAGCCAUGAUGCAUCAUUGGAAAAGAGAUUAAUUCACAGUUUGCCGAAUACUCCCACGGUUGUGCGAAAAAGUACAAGAGAUGCAGCAACGAGCUGUCGAGUCUUAACCAGAGAUAUUGGAGUUUCUCACGUGGGUACUCGAACAAGAACGGUCGGACUGACGACUGAUCGAGUGGAUGUCGAGAGAAAAAAGGAAAUUAAACCCAAACCCUGCAUGCAGUGCUAUGAGAGAAAUCGUAAGACUUAUGAAAGCAAAGGUACUGGGACACCAUUAACAUCACAGUCGGAGAAAUUGAGAAAGCUUAGUAUUAGCAGUGUGUCACUGGAGAGCGUAGAGCCGGAUGAUGUAGACCCCGAACACAGGGACCCAUUAGAGAAGGAAGGCAGCCCCAAGAAUACCUUCUUACAAAGACUAGGCAGAAAGUCAGCCAUCAUAAGCCGCCUCUCAGAGCCUCAGUUGGCUCCUCCGGUUCUCACAUUUGACAACUCCACAAACACUGAAGUUAUAUACAGAAGAGAGAAGCUUGUCAACACCAGCUUAACCAUGAGUGACUUGUUUACUAAAGCUGAAUUAAAUGAACAUUUAGCUGUAGCCAAAACAGAAUGGGAGACUACAAGAGAAAGACAAGAUCUCCUCAGACGUUUAGCAGAGUCCAGCAAGCCUCUCACAGUAGACAAAGGUGCCCAGGUCACAAUUAAUGAUCCAAGCUUCACCAAGACAAAGUUUCAGCCACUGUUACAAAGUGUUGGUGUUCUGGCUAAACCUUAUACUGUGGAUGUUGGUGUUGGGGCAUCUAAAAUUACUGACAGUUCAUGUGAGAAAUGUGCCAAUGUUAGAACCCGAUCUGUUGGUUCAGGAGAGGGGACCACUACGGGUCUCCUGUGUGAUAAAUGUGUGUACACUAAGACUAGAUCUGUUGCAGUAGGUGAUUACAGAUUAAAUGAUAAUUGGUGUGAAAAAUGUUCAUCAGUUCAAACUAGAUCUGUAGGUUCUAGUAAUGACAGAGUUUGUGAUAGAAUUUGUGAUCGCUGCAACAACCUUCACACUCGCUCAAUUGCUGUUGGCACCAUCCCAGUCAUUGAGAGAGUGUCGGAGAAAACUAAACCCAAGCCGUGUAGCACAUCAUCUACAUAUGUUCAAACCAGAGGGCCAGAAACUCGUACCACAGGCGUAAAUACCGUGCCCCUCAACCUUAAAAAGGAAGAUAUUUAUUCUGAGACCACUGCAAGUCCUCCAAGCCCAGCACUUACCCCAGAGGUAGAGCGUCGGUCGUACGGUAGUUCUGGGGUACGAGUGUGUGACAAGUGCCACGAAACCAUUCAUUCGGUUGCUAAAGACAUUGUCAACACCAGUGGUACAGCGUCUGCCACCAAUCUUCCACCAUUGCCUCCGCAAGCAUCUAAAAUUCCACGCCUAGUCGACCUUACCAAGGUGGAACCUAGAUUAGAAUUGCCAAAACAAGAUUUAAAGACCAGUGCCAACCUUACCACUAGUCUUGGAUCAAGUCUGUCAGAGACACAAGUGUCCAGCCUCAACAGCAGCUUCAUAGAAACGAAGCCAUCAUCACUACCAGCUCACAGCACAACAAGUAUAGGAACUGUACAGACCAAGCCAUCAAAAUUUGAGCAGCCAUUAAAUGCAUCAAGUGAAAAUUCAGCGGCAAAGUAUAGCCAGUCAUCAUCUUCUCAUGUCACUAAAGUUGAAACUUCAAAAUCAGUCUCAGUAACCACUGGAAGUCAGGACUUGAAGUCUGUUGUAUCAUCACGAAAAACUGUGACAACUGAGAGUGAGAGUGUGAAGCCAGAACAACCCCCAGUACUGACGGUCACCUCUGCUGGCUCAUCCAAGGCAUCAUCAGGCAUCCCUUCUCUCAGUACCUCUCCUCAGACAAAACGCGUGCCGUACACCCGCCAACAGACGUACACCAAGUACACCGAGGGGUUGGUCAACCUCGGGUUUGACGAACGCGCUGAUGCUGAGGCUAAAACUCAGAGGGAAGCAAAAAAGAUCGAAUCAACCAAGAGUCUGCCAAACAUCGCGGAAAAUAAUAAUAACUUGACCAAGAAAGUUGAGGAAGUAAAGAAACAGAAAGAUGUAGAAGUGAAAGAGGAAGUCACAACAGAUGCUCUUUGUUGCAGGACCAAAGAGCCUGAACCGGUCAUCCAGGCAAAGAAAGAAAGUGAGUCUCGCUCUCGCUCCUCCAGUGAGUCAGAGGCUGAAACCUGUGACGAGGAGUCCUUGAUGGGGGCGUCUUUCACCUCCCAGCCUGAGGAUCAUGCUGUCCCCUCAUCAUUUCAGAGUGUGUCAUCACUGUACACAACUACCAGUGACAAGAGCAGGAAGAAGUCGGUACCAUCAAGGGAGAUGAAAGCGGCACUGAAAGUUGUGAAUGACUCUAUUGGAAAGCCAGUUCGGUCAGGACAACAACUUACCAAUGCCCUCAAUAUUAUCCAGAGAGAAUGGCUUAAGACAUCAAGUCAGAAGGAUGCUGACCCUCAUGCUGUAGAGGACUACAUGGAUGUGUUUGAGGAGUACUCAAAGGGCCUACUGCAGCGUGUUGUUAACCUCAGUGAUGUUAACGGGAACACAGCCAUGCACUAUGCAGUUUCACAUGGAAAUUUUGAUGUUGUGUCUGUGCUGCUGGACUCCAAAGUGUGUAACAUUAACCAUCAGAACAAAGCAGGGUACACCGCUGCCAUGCUGGUGUCCUUAGCACAGAUACGCUCUGAGACUCACGCCAGCGUUGUACAGAGACUCUUUCAGCUCGGUGACGUCAACAUUAAAGCCAGUCAGCACGGCCAAACUGCACUCAUGUUGGCAGUGUCACACGGACGACUAGACAUGGUCCGUAUGUUGGUUGGUGCCGGGGCAGAAAUCAACAUCCAAGAUGAAGACGGUUCAACAGCGCUCAUGUGUGCAGCAGAACACGGCCACCUGGCUAUUGUCAAGUUCCUCCUUGCCCAGCCUGACACUGACCCCUCACUUAUGGAUAAUGAUGGCAGCACAGCUCUCACCAUUGCCGUAGAGGCGGGCAACAAGGACGUGGGUGUGCUGCUGUAUAAACACAUGAACUUGUCCCGAGGAUCUUCACCAUACUCCUCUGUUAGGUACCCCCCUCUGUAGGUGAGCCUCUGGACUGCCCUGAUGAACUGUGUGGCAUUGAGAAGUAUAUAAGAAUCAAGAGGUCUCGUACGCCCACCAUGAGCAGGUCAUCAGUGACUCCUCCUCCUCGCUCCUCGGCGCCGUCCUCGCCCGGCC